GACGAACGCUGGCGGCGUGCUUAACACAUGCAAGUCGAACGGAAAGGCCCUGCUUUUGUGGGGUGCUCGAGUGGCGAACGGGUGAGUAACACGUGAGUAACCUGCCCUUGACUUUGGGAUAACUUCAGGAAACUGGGGCUAAUACCGGAUAGGAGCUCCUGCUGCAUGGUGGGGGUUGGAAAGUUUCGGCGGUUGGGGAUGGACUCGCGGCUUAUCAGCUUGUUGGUGGGGUAGUGGCUUACCAAGGCUUUGACGGGUAGCCGGCCUGAGAGGGUGACCGGCGACAGUGGGACUGAGAUACGGCCCAGACUCCUACGGGAGGCAGCAGUGGGGAAUAUUGCACAAUGGGCGGAAGCCUGAUGCAGCAACGCCGCGUGCGGGAUGACGGCCUUCGGGUUGUAAAACGCUUUCGCCUGUGACGAAGCGUGAGUGACGGUAAUGGGUAAAGAAGCACCGGCUAACUACGUG
This 468-nucleotide ribosomal RNA is filed under the name uncultured bacterium. RNAcentral describes it as "partial 16S ribosomal RNA". It matches the Rfam family "Bacterial small subunit ribosomal RNA", at positions 28 to 507 of the family's 1533-position model. The record is from RNAcentral.